UACUCCAGGAAUGACCGGGACCAAGUCAGCUUCCUGAUCAGGAAGGAAGUAGCAAAACUCCAGGCAGGAGGCAACACCCUGUCUGCUACCAUUAGCACCUUCCAGAGCCCACCUCCUCUGCCCAGCCGUACCCUGCUCUGCCCCAUCUGGGAUGCUGUGCUCAGGCAUUAGCUGGCAGGGCU
RNAcentral lists this small RNA (182 nucleotides) under Pongo abelii (Sumatran orangutan). RNAcentral describes it as "processed transcript". Lineage: Eukaryota; Metazoa; Chordata; Mammalia; Primates; Hominidae. The record is from RNAcentral.